UGGGGAAUAUUGGACAAUGGGCGCAAGCCUGAUCCAGCCAUGCCGCGUGAGUGAUGAAGGCCUUAGGGUUGUAAAGCUCUUUUAUCCGGGAAGAUAAUGACUGUACCGGAAGAAUAAGCCCCGGCUAACUUCGUGCCAGCAGCCGCGGUAAUACGAAGGGGGCUAGCGUUGCUCGGAAUCACUGGGCGUAAAGGGCGCGUAGGCGGACAGCUAAGUCAGGGGUGAAAUCCCGAGGCUCAACCUCGGAAUUGCCCUUGAUACUGGUUGUCUUGAGAUCGGAAGAGGUAAGUGGAAUUGCGAGUGUAGAGGUGAAAUUCGUAGAUAUUCGCAGGAACACCAGUGGCGAAGGCGACUUACUGGUCCGUAUCUGACGCUGAGGCGCGAAAGCGUGGGGAGCAAACAGG
RNAcentral lists this ribosomal RNA (404 nucleotides) under bacterium. RNAcentral's name for it is "partial 16S ribosomal RNA". It matches the Rfam family "Bacterial small subunit ribosomal RNA", at positions 355 to 776 of the family's 1533-position model. RNAcentral also lists the same sequence under 1 other name. The record is from RNAcentral.